This 460-nucleotide ribosomal RNA is filed under the name uncultured bacterium. Its description in RNAcentral is "partial 16S ribosomal RNA". It matches the Rfam family "Bacterial small subunit ribosomal RNA", at positions 338 to 795 of the family's 1533-position model. The record is from RNAcentral.
CCUACGGGAGGCAGCAGUGAGGAAUAUUUGUCAAUGGGCGGGAGCCUGAACCAGCCAAGUCGCGUGAGGGAAGACGGUCCUAUGGAUUGUAAACCUCUUUAGGCGGGGAGCAAUGCCGGGCACGUGUGCCCGGAGGAAGAGUACCCGCAGAAUAAGCAUCGGCUAACUCCGUGCCAGCAGCCGCGGUAAUACGGAGGAUGCGAGCGUUAUCCGGAUUGAUUGGGUUUAAAGGGUGCGUAGGCGGAUUUUUAAGUCAGCGGUAAAAUGUCCGGGCUCAACCCGGGCCGGCCGUUGAAACUGGGGAUCUUGAGUGGGCGAGAAGUAUGCGGAAUGCGUGGUGUAGCGGUGAAAUGCAUAGAUAUCACGCAGAACUCCGAUUGCGAAGGCAGCAUACCGGCGCCCGACUGACGCUGAGGCACGAAAGCGUGGGGAUCGAACAGGAUUAGAUACCCGAGUAGUC